AGAAAAGCUUAAGCUGAAGAGCUGGUGUUCAACAGCAGCUGCAACAUCCAUGGCAACACCUUGGAGCUAAUCAGUGAUCAUCUUGUUCAGCUGUCCUGGUUAUUUGAGGGAGGAGGUUCUGCAGUGGUUCUCUGGACCAGGGCGAUGCCGCCUGUGCGGACCCUCCUGUUCUUGGUGCCGUUAGUGAAGGCGCUGAGGCCAAGCACCACGCCAGCAAAACAGCUCAGCACCGCCAGUAACAUGAAGGCCCGUGUGGCAUCCCAGAAAGCUGGACACAGAAAAGGGCCCGGAGCCCAGAGGACGACUGUUCGAUCUGCAGAGGAGGAGAGGAAGGUCCGGUCAUGGGGGUGCCACCUACACUGGAUCACUUUGUCCCAGUGUUCUCCUGCCACUGUCUGAGGGAGGGGCUUUGUCAGGUCACCUGUGGUCAGAGAAAAGAGAAACAUCACACACUGCUAUCAUGAUUCAGAGAAACUUGAACUACCACUUAAUGGUCGUAUGCCCGUCAACCAGUCCAGUUGCAGGAGCCAGUCAGAAGGUGAUGGGCUCCUGGUGAGAAGCGCACUGAGCGGAUGUCACUGCUGUGAGGCCGGUAUGUCUGAACUAUGCGUCCUCCUCUGAUGUCGUACAACAUGCAGGUACUGUCCUCCUGACCGGUGGCC
Lates calcarifer (barramundi perch) is the source of this 662-nucleotide long non-coding RNA. RefSeq lists it as uncharacterized. The transcript is spliced from 5 exons. Lineage: Eukaryota; Metazoa; Chordata; Actinopteri; Centropomidae. The record is from RefSeq and is a predicted model, not a curated record.